RNAcentral lists this ribosomal RNA (566 nucleotides) under Xylariaceae sp. BCC 18793. Its description in RNAcentral is "eukaryotic LSU rRNA". It matches the Rfam family "Eukaryotic large subunit ribosomal RNA", at positions 62 to 648 of the family's 3401-position model. Lineage: Eukaryota; Fungi; Ascomycota; Sordariomycetes; Xylariales; Xylariaceae. The record is from RNAcentral.
AAACCAACAGGGAUUGCCCUAGUAACGGCGAGUGAAGCGGCAACAGCUCAAAUUUGAAAUCUGGCUCUUUAGGGCCCGAGUUGUAAUUUGUAGAGGAUGCUUUUGGCGCGGUGCCUUCCGAGUUCCCUGGAACGGGACGCCUUAGAGGGUGAGAGCCCCGUACGGUUGGACACCAAGCCUCUGUAAAGCUCCUUCGACGAGUCGAGUAGUUUGGGAAUGCUGCUCUAAAUGGGAGGUAAAUUUCUUCUAAAGCUAAAUAUUGGCCAGAGACCGAUAGCGCACAAGUAGAGUGAUCGAAAGAUGAAAAGCACUUUGAAAAGAGGGUUAAACAGCACGUGAAAUUGUUGAAAGGGAAGCGUUUGCGACCAGACCUUUUCCUAGCGGAUCAUCCGGUGUUCUUCGCCGGUGCACUUCGCUAGGUCGAGGCCAGCAUCGGUUUCCGCAGGGGGAUAAAAGCCCAGGGAACGUAGCUCUUUCGGGAGUGUUAUAGCCCUCCGCAUAAUACCCUUGCGGGGACCGAGGACCGCGCUUUUUGCAAGGAUGCUGGCGUAAUGGUCGUCAACGAC